Molecule: ribosomal RNA, 317 nt
Filed under: Plesiodema pinetella
Lineage: Eukaryota; Metazoa; Arthropoda; Insecta; Hemiptera; Miridae
Description: partial large subunit ribosomal RNA
Source: RNAcentral
CUUUAUUUUAUAAUAAURAAUUAAUUUCUAUAUUAAAAAGUAUAGAUUUUUUUAAAAGACGAGAAGACCCUAUAGAGCUUUAUUAAUUUUUUAUAAAUUUUAUUUUGUUUAUAUUAAAUUUUUAUAUAAAAAUUUAAUUUUGUUGGGGUGACAGAAAAAAUUUAAUAACUUUUUUUAUUUUAUUCAUUUAUAUAUGAUUUUUUUGAUCCUUUUUUAGGGAAAAAAGAUUAAGUUACCUUAGGGAUAACAGCGUUAUUAUUUUAAAGAGUUCUUAUCGAUAAAAUAGUUUGCGACCUCGAUGUUGGAUUAUAAUAAGU